CUCUGCUGUGUCAUGUAGGUUACCAGGGAAGGAGGGAAAGCCAUAAUUACAGGCCUCACUUAGCUCCCAUGCAGCCCAAAAAGCUUGUCUCAUUCCCAUUAUGCUUCACCAACAGCACUGAGUUUAUUUCCAGGCAGUGGGUGAGCAGGGCUGAGAAGUUGCCCCAGGUUACCAGCCUCCUGGCUGAGAAAGCAAGCAGGGCUUUCAGGUUUCAAGCUUCCUCAUCUGCUGUGGCUUCUGUGCUGUGUCUGUACUCCCGAUUUACCCCCUCCCCCAGUUCUGUCCAGGAAACUUCAUGUUCAGUCAAAUUUAUUACGAAGUUCAGCUGGAAAUUUCCUUCUUUGUGUGGUCUUUUCCCAGUUCCUCUGGCUGCUCUCCCUAGGGACCCCUAUGAGACAAAGUCAGAAAUGGCUUCCUUGGGGACAGAGAGUGCCCGCUGCUUCUUCUACCGCUGUAUUUCACUUGGCUGUCUAAAUUCAUCCCAGCUCCAGGGUCUUGCAACAGCAGUCUGCUUCCUUUGACGGGUCUGGGGAUUCUGUCGGCUUUCCAGGUGUAUCCUGCACUAGUUAUCGGAGCAAAAAUUCAUGAUGACAUUUCCUGCAGCUUUUCAGAUUUCCACAGCAGCCAUUUUGGAGUGUACCUGUCCAGCUCAACAGCUAUUUCAGGUGUGUUUCAUAUUUUACAGACUGGAAACCUUCAAAUGCUGUGUCACACAAUAAAUAUUGAGCUUUUCUUUCCAAGGCA
Macaca mulatta (Rhesus monkey) is the source of this 744-nucleotide non-coding RNA. Lineage: Eukaryota; Metazoa; Chordata; Mammalia; Primates; Cercopithecidae. The record is from RefSeq and is a predicted model, not a curated record.